CCUACGGGAGGCACCAGUGGGGAAUUUUGGACAAUGGGCGAAAGCCUGAUCCAGCAAUGCCGCGUGCAGGAUGAAGGCCUUCGGGUUGUAAACUGCUUUUGUACGGGACGAAAAAGCUCCUUCUAAUACAGGGGGCCCAUGACGGUACCGUAAGAAUAAGCACCGGCUAACUACGUGCCAGCAGCCGCGGUAAUACGUAGGGUGCGAGCGUUAAUCGGAAUUACUGGGCGUAAAGCGUGCGCAGGCGGUUAUGUAAGACGGAUGUGAAAUCCCCGGGCUCAACCUGGAAACUGCAUUUGUGACUGCAUGGCUAGAGUAUGGUAGAGGGGGAUGGAAUUCCGCGUGUAGCAGUGAAAUGCGUAGAUAUGCGGAGGAACACCGAUGGCUAAGGCAAUCCCCUGGACCUGUACUGACGCUCAUGCACGAAAGCGUGGGGAGCAAACAGGAUUAGAUACCCUCGUAGUC
This 465-nucleotide ribosomal RNA is filed under the name uncultured bacterium. RNAcentral's name for it is "bacterial SSU rRNA". It matches the Rfam family "Bacterial small subunit ribosomal RNA", at positions 338 to 795 of the family's 1533-position model. The record is from RNAcentral.